UAGGGAAUCUUCGGCAAUGGACGAAAGUCUGACCGAGCAACGCCGCGUGAGUGAAGAAGGUUUUCGGAUCGUAAAACUCUGUUGUUAGAGAAGAACAAGGACGUUAGUAACUGAACGUCCCCUGACGGUAUCUAACCAGAAAGCCACGGCUAACUACGUGCCAGCAGCCGCGGUAAUACGUAGGUGGCAAGCGUUGUCCGGAUUUAUUGGGCGUAAAGCGAGCGCAGGCGGUUUCUUAAGUCUGAUGUGAAAGCCCCCGGCUCAACCGGGGAGGGUCAUUGGAAACUGGGAGACUUGAGUGCAGAAGAGGAGAGUGGAAUUCCAUGUGUAGCGGUGAAAUGCGUAGAUAUAUGAAGGAACACCAGUGGCGAAGGCGGCUCUCUGGUCUGUAACUGACGCUGAGGCUCGAAAGCGUGGGGAGCAAACAGG
This 429-nucleotide ribosomal RNA is filed under the name Gemmatimonadota bacterium. RNAcentral describes it as "Gemmatimonadetes bacterium partial 16S ribosomal RNA". It matches the Rfam family "Bacterial small subunit ribosomal RNA", at positions 355 to 776 of the family's 1533-position model. The record is from RNAcentral. Lineage: Bacteria; Pseudomonadati; Gemmatimonadota.